CGGCGCGCCGCGUGCCGAUGAACGCGGCAGUCGGGCACGACCCGGCAGGGAAAGG
Molecule: non-coding RNA, 55 nt
Submitted as: unclassified sequences
Source: Rfam